Long non-coding RNA from Nilaparvata lugens (brown planthopper), 1151 nucleotides. RefSeq lists it as uncharacterized. The record is from RefSeq and is a predicted model, not a curated record. Lineage: Eukaryota; Metazoa; Arthropoda; Insecta; Hemiptera; Delphacidae. The transcript has 3 exons.
AUGAAAAUAUAGUAUAGGAAAAGGUGGUAAUAUGGCCCCUGCAUAUAAUAUGGCACCCCUCUGUAUUUCAAUGACCAAGUGCUGAGAUCUAGUUUUGAAGAUGGGAACUAGCUCAUUAGUUCAGUUGAUGGUCACUAGGAGUCCAUGGAACAAGUCUAUGCAGCAGUUGGUGAAUUUUGAGGUUAUUUCCAUCCUUGUGUUUUUUAAAAGUUUGGAAGGUAUGUAAGUUUCUCAAUUUUAAUGUGCUAUAACUAAUAAUUUCUCAUUAUUGAGCAUUGUUAUUAUGAUCUAGAAGUUAUUUCCAACAUUUUAACAUAAACUAGAAUGCUCUGUUGCUUUCAAGUUCUAACCUACAAACAACUUUGUUAAAUCACAGUCAUGUCUGCAAUAUGGCCCCCUUAGGUGAAUGUAAUAUGGACCCCGGGGUCCAUAUUACAAGCAGUUUGAAUAUUUGUUGUUAAAAACCUGCUAUUGCGGAUAUUGUUACAAGUUCUCCAUACAAGAAAGAACUAGAGGACUUCUAUGCAAAUAAAGAAGCUGACACUCACAGAAGAGGCCGUGGCCGUGGACGUGGACGUGGUAGAGGUGCCAAAAGAAAUUUGAUUUUUAACGACCCUCAGCCUUCUACAUCAGGACUCCAAUCUCCUAUUACUGAUCAAGAGCAUGGAAGAUCAAAGACAAUAAAAAGGCCUAAACAUCAAGAACAAACCGACAGCAGUGAUGAUGAUGAUGAUGAGGUGCAGCUCUCCACUUGCUCCAUCGAGUCACCCUUUGACCUGCCAAUUGGAGAGCCUCAACCAGACGAAAAAGAUGUGGCAUGUAUUUUCUGUGAUGAAAAAUUCUCGAGUAAUGUACGAGGAGAAUUAUGGGUCCAAUGAUUGAUGUGUUCUCUUUGGGCCCAUAAUGAAUGUGCAGGAGCAGAGAGGGAGGAAUAUGUCUGCGAUUUUUGUUGUUAACUUUUUUCUACAUUCACUGACCUUCAAUCAUCUACAAAUAUCUAUAAUCCAUUUUUUUACCCUAAUAUAAAACUAUUACUCAUGCAUAAUAAACUGUUUUAGUGCCACAAAGCCGUUUUUAAUUUUUUUCUCCUUAUUUUUGUACGUAAAUUACGAGGUCCAUAUUACAAACACCAUGGGGGCCAUAUUAACAAC